Molecule: long non-coding RNA, 1240 nt
Organism: Xenia sp. Carnegie-2017
Lineage: Eukaryota; Metazoa; Cnidaria; Anthozoa; Malacalcyonacea; Xeniidae
Exons: 2
Source: RefSeq, a predicted model, not a curated record
CCCUGAUCUGGCCUGUCCACGGUCGUCAUUAGUUUCCAUCUACGAAACUGACAUGACAUCAUAAAGUAAGCAUAUUAAAUAUAUAAUUCCGCAUUUCACAAGACAAACAAAUUGGGACAUUGGGAUAAUAGCAUGAAAAUAUUGGCUGAACUCUAAUUAGAAAUUCUUCCAGGGUUUUGCUGGACUUGGUCGGGCAGCAACAUUAGUAGACGAUCUACAUAUCGCAAGCAAAUGUAUUUGAAGUGGCUUUCGACACAUGUCCGUACUUUAAUAGCAAAAAUUUGAGUAUAUGAAUUUGCAUUCGUUAGGUGGCGUACGUACUUGUGUGAUGCGUUACAAAAAUAACAAGGAAACCAAAGAAGAAAUUUACACAUAGCGCUAUAAUUUGUUGCACAAGAAACGCUAAAGAAAAUGAAAAGUUCGGUAAUUUCGAGUAAAAGCAAUAAAUUUAGAACUUCAAUACCAGUCACGUCAAUAAGUGCAUUAGUUAAACGAAUGAUUGUCGAAUAUAACCAAUACAAAUACAAUUACAUGUAAUCUGUAGAUUGACCACUCAUGUUGUGUUUUCUAACCAAGACCAAGAAAUCCCUGGAAGAAAUAUUACUAAUAGUUCAUGUACGCGUAUCGCAUAAUUUGAUGCUAUUGUGGCGAUAUGUUUGUCUAUUUGCCGAAUUCCACUUACACAACAUAUCCCAAAAUAGCAUCAAAAUAUCCUUACGCGUACUGAACUAUUAGUAAUAUAGGAAGCGCAUAUUUAUAUUAGCUUUCUGACGUCACCUCAAUUUCGUAUAUGGAAACUAAUAACGACCGUGGGCAGGCCAGACCAGGGCACAGAAUAUAUACUAUACAGAAGGACCACACUCUUGAGUUAACUUGUCGCUAAUUUUUUAUGCGCAUGCUCCAAUUCCGCCAUCUUCCUGGCCAGUCAAUAGCUGGCAGCGGUAUAUAAAACUAUAUGGUAAGAUGCGAAGUGGAGACUGGAAAACGUCGAUUUUUUUCAAUUGAGGCUGUUCAAUCUGAUGCGUAAUUUAUAAAAUAGCAAAAGCAAGGAUAUUUUUCUGUGUUAUUUAAGAAGAAAACAUCCAGGAAUAUCUGCCAAUUUAAAGCUGCACUGUUUAUACGAUACCAUUAAGACCAAUAUAUUACUAUAAAUUCUAUAUAGUUAUAGUUUUAUUGAACAUGUAAUUAACAUUUUAUCAGUGGUUAGGUAGAUAAAUAUACGAUAUAUUAAUCUUGUAAA